RNAcentral lists this ribosomal RNA (250 nucleotides) under uncultured bacterium. RNAcentral's name for it is "partial 16S ribosomal RNA". It matches the Rfam family "Bacterial small subunit ribosomal RNA", at positions 807 to 1058 of the family's 1533-position model. The record is from RNAcentral.
CGAUGAAUACUAGGUGUGGGAGUUUAUAUAACUUCCGUGCCGCAGUUAACACAAUAAGUAUUCCGCCUGGGGAGUACGGUCGCAAGAUUAAAACUCAAAGGAAUUGACGGGGGCCCGCACAAGCAGCGGAGCAUGUGGUUUAAUUCGAAGCAACGCGAAGAACCUUACCUGGACUUGACAUCUCCUGAAUUACUCGUAAUGGAGGAAGCCCUUCGGGGCAGGGAGACAGGUGGUGCAUGGCUGUCGUCAG